UCGAGAAUAUUCGACAAUGGGCGAAAGCCUGAUCGAGCGACGCCGCGUGCAGGAUGAAGGUCUUAGGAUUGUAAACUGCUUUUCUACGGGAGGAAGUUCCGGCGCUUGCGCCGGAAUUGACAGUACCGUGGGAAUAAGGGGCUGCAAACUUCGUGCCAGCAGCCGCGGUAAUACGAAGGCCCCGAGCGUUAUCCGGAUUUAUUGGGCGUAAAGGGCGCGUAGGAGGUCCGAUGCGUCUUCUGUAAAAUUUCACCGCUCAACGGUGGAGCUGCAGGGGAUACGGUCGGACUUGAGGGCGUUAGAGGCAGAUGGAACACACGGUGUAGGGGUGAAAUCCGUUGAUAUCGUGUGGAACACCAAAGGCGAAGGCAUUCUGCUGGGACGUUCCUGACUCUGAGGCGCGAAAGCGUGGGGAGCAAAAAGG
This 424-nucleotide ribosomal RNA is filed under the name uncultured bacterium. RNAcentral describes it as "bacterial SSU rRNA". It matches the Rfam family "Bacterial small subunit ribosomal RNA", at positions 355 to 776 of the family's 1533-position model. The record is from RNAcentral.